CCUACGGGAGGCAGCAGUGGGGAAUCUUGCACAAUGGGGGAAACCCUGAUGCAGCGACGCCGCGUGAGUGAAGAAGUAUUUCGGUAUGUAAAGCUCUAUCAGCAGGGAAGAAAAUGACGGUACCUGACUAAGAAGCCCCGGCUAACUACGUGCCAGCAGCCGCGGUAAUACGUAGGGGGCAAGCGUUAUCCGGAUUUACUGGGGGUAAAGGGAGCGUAGACGGCAGCACAAGUCUGGAGUGAAAUGCCGGGGCUUAACCCGGGAACUGCUUUGGAAACUGUGCAGCUAGAGUGCAGGAGAGGUGAGUGGAACUCCUAGUGUAGCGGUGAAAUGCGUAGAUAUUAGGAGGAACACCAGUGGCGAAGGCGGCUUACUGGACUGUAACUGACGUUGAGGCUCGAAAGCGUGGGGAGCAAACAGGAUUAGAUACCCCAGUAGUC
RNAcentral lists this ribosomal RNA (440 nucleotides) under uncultured bacterium. RNAcentral's name for it is "partial 16S ribosomal RNA". It matches the Rfam family "Bacterial small subunit ribosomal RNA", at positions 338 to 795 of the family's 1533-position model. The record is from RNAcentral.